This 2775-nucleotide long non-coding RNA is filed under the name Capra hircus (goat). RNAcentral describes it as "lncRNA (ENSCHIG00010009416.1)". Lineage: Eukaryota; Metazoa; Chordata; Mammalia; Artiodactyla; Bovidae. The record is from RNAcentral.
AUGAGAAGGUCACACAGCCGCUUAGUUGCAGAGACGCAAGGCAGAUUCAGGCUCUUACCUCCAACUGCAGGCUUGCAACCCUCACCCGGCCCCCACACCCACCUCUGCCGCCGCAGAGCGCGGAGCAGCGUCGCAGUCCAGGAACCUCUCCUACAGGGGAUCCACAUACCAACAAGGGAUGAUCCGGGUUUCCUCACGUUGCAGCAACUGCUUAGCUCUUCCUUUGAUAGGAUGGACUCAUGGAUGGCAGAGCAGGGCACUCGUGUUGCAGAUGAAGAAAUUGAUGGGGAUUUGAUCAUAAGCCAGUUGGUGGUGCGUAGAGGCAUGAGCCCCAAACUCUGCAAGGAAUGGCAAGCCCACGAGCCCCCAGGGAAGGGCCGGUGUAGUGAGCGUCCCUUCGGUACCGGAAGCGUCUGCUGUGGGAGCAAGGAGACAGUGCAGGGUGUGUGUCUGCUUCUCUGCCGCCCAGCGGUUCAGAGAGCGCGAGCGGGCAGUCCUGUCCUGUCCGGCUCUUUGCGACCCCACGGACUAUGGUCCACCGGGCUCCUCUGUCCAUGGGAUUCUCAGGGCAGGAAUGCUGGAGUGGGCUGCCACUUUCUGCUCCAGGGGAUCUUCCCGACUCAGGGAUGGAACCUUCAUCUCCUGCCUGUGUCUCCUGCAGUGGUGGGUGGAUUCUUAACCACUUGAGCCACCUGGGACGCCAGCCAGCAGUUCAGAUGAGCCCGCGUNGCCGGCGUCCCCAGCCUCUCUGACCAACAGGCGCUUUGCUACAGGGAAAGGGGACCAAGCUGUGGACGUUUUUCCUCUGACGUUGAGGGUGUUCCAGAGCUUGAUGUGUCUGAACGCCAUGACCCUCUUUUGAGUCAAGGAUCUUUGAAAACUCGGGGCCACUCUGUUAGCUGGGGAGACUCGGCAAGCGGGCUGGACCUGAAACCCUUUUUCAAGACUUGGCUCCCUCCAUGACUCCGUGAAACCUCACCCCCAGCCCCCCACUCCCCCAGGAUGGGUCAGAGGCUCUCCCAGCCCCCGGUGCUCAUCUGAGUCCAGCUGUGCCCCUACCGUUCACUUCUUUGUCCCUUUUCUCAGCUGAUUAUGAGCUCCUGAGGGAUGGCACCGGACAUCGUAUUACAGUUCUGUGUCCUCAGGGUCUAACACUGUCUGAUACAUGGCAGGCGCUCAAUAAACGUUGAACUGAACUGUGGAAACCUCACAUGCUAGUGGCCUUGUGCAGGAGACGACUGCUUGCAAUUCCCAACAGAAAUGGAUUUUGUGUCUGUGAGACUCAUUCGCACAGAAUGAGAAUUCUCAUUCUUUUUUAUUAGUAAGGUGUCUGAAAUGAAAACUUCACAACUGUUUGCUAAUACAACUCCAUAAAAACAACCAAGAUCCCUUGUGCUUAACCUAAUUCCUGAUUGCCCUUUAAAACUCAAUAAGUGUGAACCAAGUGCAUUAUUCAAAUCAAACCACUCCAUGUGUUUCCUUCUGUUCCCGGUCGGCUAGGAAGCUCAAAAAUCAUCCUAGGCACACUUUUAAGAACAGUCUCCUCCCUGGUGAUGGGACGGUGUUCUCCCCUUUAUCUGUGAAGUUCCUGCUCUUGCUUUGCUGUUCAUUUAGACAUACAGGUGGGUAUUUUAAGGUAAGCAGACUCUGCCUUUCCGGAAGAAGUUAGCACGGGUGAUGCACAGGGUAACAGGAGACUCCCCAGAACUCUGUGUGGGAAAAACACUCAGGAAGAUAAGCAGUUUCCAUCAUACAGACUAAACCGAAAACCAGCUUGAUCUUUAUGGUGCCCAAAGUCUCGGCAAGGUCAUCAUGAAUGGAAACGAACGGUUGCAGAGCAGGCCCGGCCUUNNNNNNNNNNNNNNNNNNNNNNNNNNNNNNNNNNNNNNNNNNNNNNNNNNNNNNNNNNNNNNNNNNNNNNNNNNNNNNNNNNNNNNNNNNNNNNNNNNNAUCAUGAAUGGAAACGAACGGUUGCAGAGCAGGCCCGGCCUUAUCCAGGGCAGGCCUGUGUGUCUCUGUGACACGCGGUGGUCUCAGCCCUGGAGGUGGCUCAGGAAUGGGAUGAGACGACGCGGAGCUUUUCCAGGGUUUGGACAGUGACCUUCCUGAGGCUUUCCUCUUUCUCUUCCAAGUCCAUUCUCACCAAGCAACCACUUCCACUUUACAAGCAUCGUGGCCCUGGGACUGGGUCCCUGGGUGAGGGACGCUGGGGGAUGGUUUCCAUUCUAAACGGAAGUUGGCAUGAAGUGUAAGCAAGGGCCUCUGUGGGCUUAAUGAGUGGGAGUAAGUGGGAGGCGCCCUAGAGCACCUGCUCUUUCUGGACUUGCAAAGCUGAAGGCCAGGCGGGUGUGUGGUCUGCACCCUUGCCCCACACUGUGCUGGGUCCCUCCUCCAGCAGCCGGCCAGCCUCCUUCAGCUGGCUGCUCCUCUCACACGGCCACACGGUUCACAGGAAACACCGGCUCCCACGCCUGCAGCUGAGCUGCUCAGCGAGGACCCCGCCGGCUUGUUCCUGCAGUGAGACUACGGCUCCGGGCAGCAGCAGGCAGCCCCUGGGAAGAGAGUCGGAGGUCCCCAGGGUACUGUGAGGCGGUGGGGGAGAGGCGCAGAACCAUCUUGGGUCCCUCAGAAGCCCUGCUCCAAACAGCGGCCGUGAUGCAGCUUUUUAAAACAGCAGCCUCGUUCAUAAAAGCAAACCUGAGCCCUGGAAGUAUGACUAACCCAGAGGAUGGGCGAUACUCCACGCCACGGAGCAUCACACACUACAGAGAAGCA